RNAcentral lists this ribosomal RNA (365 nucleotides) under uncultured eukaryote. RNAcentral describes it as "LSU rRNA". It matches the Rfam family "Bacterial large subunit ribosomal RNA", at positions 2122 to 2486 of the family's 2925-position model. The record is from RNAcentral.
UCCGGGCUUUGUUUGCGCAGGAUAGGUGGGAGGCGAUGAAAAUUUUCUUGCGGGAAGAUUGGAGCCGUUGGUGAGAUACCACUCUAACAAUGCUAGGAUUCUAACCCUACACCGUUAUCCGGUUAGGGGACAGUUUCAGGUGGUCAGUUUGACUGGGGCGGUCGCCUCCCAAAAGGUAACGGAGGCGUGCAAAGGUUUCCUCAGGCUGGUCGGAAAUCAGUCGUAGAGUGUAAAGGCAUAAGGAAGCUUGAUUGUGAGACCUACAAGUCGAACAAAGACGAAGGUCGGCCUUAGUGAUCCGACGGUUCCGAGUGGAAGGGCCGUCGCUCAACGGAUAAAAGUUACUCUAGGGAUAACAGGCUGAA